CGCGCCUCGCAGGUCGCUUAUAGGCUGAUCCGGCGUUGACCUCCUACCACUUUCCGUCUUGUCGAGCAACCUAGCAAACAUGGCCGUUUCAUUUUGAAAAAUAAUUAGUUUAAAAGUCCAGUUUUAUAGUAUAUUUGUUGUCUGGAAAUCCCGAAUUAGGCAUGAGCUGGCCAAGUACGAGGGGAAAGAUACCACGGCGGACAUCUGCUAGAUGGCUGCAACCUUUGAAGACCGCGACUAUAAAGGUCUCCCUGCAAACCCUGGUGGAAAUGCAGCAAAUUCAUUGAGUGGUCGGCGCCGUGCUUUCCAACAAGGCGACACAGCGCACGCGGUGUCGAGUCAUCGUGCACCGGGGGCCGUGCGAGACCGGUUUGUUAAACCUUUCAUUGCCUAUUUUAUUUUACCAUAGUUAACUAGCUUCUGCCAGCGACUUCGUCCGCGUUAGAUUCGUACUUUGUGCAAAGCGAGGAAGAAAUAAUAAACACCAGGCUAUCUAAAUUUCACCUAAAAAGAAAUAAAAUGUAAACCAUUUAUUAAUAGUUUCCACCAAAAUAACUAAUACUUACCUACCUUUUUAAUGAAAUAACAACAAAAGUUAACUUCUUUAAAUUAGUGUGUGAGUGUUAUAAAUGUAAUAGUAGACAAAUAUACCUAAUCAGAAAGUGCCGAACUGCUAAGCU
Molecule: long non-coding RNA, 680 nt
Organism: Helicoverpa armigera (cotton bollworm)
Lineage: Eukaryota; Metazoa; Arthropoda; Insecta; Lepidoptera; Noctuidae
Exons: 3
Source: RefSeq, a predicted model, not a curated record